This 435-nucleotide ribosomal RNA is filed under the name uncultured Glomus. Its description in RNAcentral is "SSU rRNA". It matches the Rfam family "Eukaryotic small subunit ribosomal RNA", at positions 597 to 1036 of the family's 1831-position model. Lineage: Eukaryota; Fungi; Glomeromycota; Glomeromycetes; Glomerales; Glomeraceae. The record is from RNAcentral.
GCGUAUAUUAAAGUUGUUGCAGUUAAAAAGCUCGUAGUUGAAUUUCGGGGUCAGCAGGUUGGUCGUGCCACUGGUAUGCACUGGCUUCGCUGAUUCCUCCUUUCUGAAGAACUGUAAUGUCAUUAAUUUGGUGUUGCAGGGAAACAGGACUGUUACUUUGAAAAAAUUAGAGUGUUUAAAGCAGGCUAACGCUUGAAUACAUUAGCAUGGAAUAAUGAAAUAGGACGUUCGAUCCUAUUUUGUUGGUUUCUAGGAUUGACGUAAUGAUUAAUAGGGAUAGUUGGGGGCAUUAGUAUUCAAUUGUCAGAGGUGAAAUUCUUGGAUUUAUUGAAGACUAACUACUGCGAAAGCAUUUGCCAAGGAUGUUUUCAUUAAUCAAGAACGAAAGUUAGGGGAUCGAAGACGAUCAGAUACCGUCGUAGUCUUAACCAUAAA